AUGAACGCUAGCGAUAGGCUUAACACAUGCAAGUCGAGGGGCAGCAUGGUCUUAGCUUGCUAAGACUGAUGGCGACCGGCGCACGGGUGCGUAACGCGUAUGCAACUUGCCUCACAGAGGGGGAUAACCCGUCGAAAGACGGACUAAUACCGCGUACACUCCAUCUUGGGCAUCCAAGGUAGAGGAAAUGAAAUUCGCUGUGAGAUAGGCAUGCGUCCCAUUAGCUAGUUGGUGAGGUAACGGCUCACCAAGGCGACGAUGGGUAGGGGAACUGAGAGGUUGAACCCCCACACUGGUACUGAGACACGGACCAGACUCCUACGGGAGGCAGCAGUGAGGAAUAGUGGUCAAUGGGCGAGAGCCUGAACCAGCCAAGUCGCGUGAAGGAUGACUGUCUUAUGGAUUGUAAACUUCUUUUAUACGGGAAUAACAAGAGUCACGUGUGACUCCCUGCAUGUACCGUAUGAAUAAGCAUCGGCUAACUCCGUG
Molecule: ribosomal RNA, 489 nt
Filed under: uncultured bacterium
Lineage: Bacteria
Description: partial 16S ribosomal RNA
Rfam family: Bacterial small subunit ribosomal RNA
Source: RNAcentral